This 253-nucleotide ribosomal RNA is filed under the name uncultured bacterium. RNAcentral's name for it is "partial 16S ribosomal RNA". It matches the Rfam family "Bacterial small subunit ribosomal RNA", at positions 524 to 776 of the family's 1533-position model. The record is from RNAcentral.
UACGUAGGGGGCAAGCGUUAUCCGGAUUUACUGGGUGUAAAGGGGGCGCAGACGGCGAUGCAAGCCAGGAGUGAAAGCCCGGGGCCCAACCCCGGGACUGCUCUUGGAACUGCGUGGCUGGAGCGCAGGAGGGGCAGGCGGAAUUCCUGGUGUAGCGGUGAAAUGCGUAGAUAUCAGGAGGAACACCGGUGGCGAAAGCGGCUCUCUGGCCUGUAACUGACACUGAGGCUCGAAAGCGUGGGGAGCAAACAGG